Molecule: non-coding RNA, 83 nt
Filed under: bovine gut metagenome
Description: Glycine riboswitch
Rfam family: Glycine riboswitch aptamer
About the family: This family represents the bacterial glycine riboswitch. Glycine riboswitches usually consist of two metabolite-binding aptamers domains with similar structures in tandem.
Source: RNAcentral
UUCUCUGGAGAGUUCCAACAAGGACGCCGAAGGUGUAAGGCAGGAAAGCAGGCUGCCGAUCUCUCAGGCAAACGGACAGAGCA